UACAACUGCCUACGUAACAGGGCUUUCUUUUCUCUUCCUUUUCUUCAUCUUUUUCCUUCCCUCUCUCUCUCUAAGCUGAUGGAAACCGAGAGCUAAGGAAGGCAACAAAUUGGUGCGUUGGAGGUUGAUUGGAACUGCAGGGAAAGUUUUUGAAGCUGAAGGUAACCUGGGGGAGACAUCUAAUUAAGCCACCAGGUUGAAGUUUUCAACUGAGAAAAAGUGGUCUAGCUGUUGGGGCUGAAGGAAAAACUGGUGGAAUCCUCAAUUAAGGAUUUGUAAUUUAGUGAAUUGAUGGGCAAACUUGAAUUUCGAGCAUGUAGAAGCUGCGAGUAAUCAGAGCUGAAGUUCGGACUUGUUGGAGUUGACGAAUUAAGAAAUUCAAAUCAGGAAGUCGAGACUUGAGGUAGAGAAGUCCUAAGCGGUGGCUGCUGCCUAGGUGGUGCAGGACUUGGGCACCCCAAGUUGAAAAAGCCUUAGUGGAGCUUCUUUAGUAAUUCAAGCUGCAACAAAUCUGGUGGAGCCUGGAAUUUAGGUUAAACGUGCUCAGAAGUUCGAAUUGACAUUUCGACGAUCCUACGACGCGCUAUUUAAGAAACGCUUCGUUCUAGCUCUAAUUGCACCGCGUCGCGAGAGCUCGUUGUCGACGCGUUUCGAGACGUUGAGCUGUGUUGAUUGGCAUCCCUACAGAUGGGUGGUGCUAUCCGAAGUCAUCGAAUCCCUCUUUAUGUCUAUGUUGCCUUCUUGAGCAUAUCUGUAUAUGAGUAAAAUAAUAUUCAUGCAUUAUAGGGUAAAUGGCAUUAUCUGUUUAUGAAAUGAAUGAUUGAGCAAAUCUCAGUAUUAAGAACAUGUGAACCAUAGCGUGUGGACCUAGAACUCUAUGAAUGUGUGAAUUUUACUGUGGACUAUAACAAUAGUAAAUUUGGUGA
Long non-coding RNA from Ananas comosus (pineapple), 926 nucleotides. RefSeq lists it as uncharacterized. The transcript is spliced from 6 exons. The record is from RefSeq and is a predicted model, not a curated record. Lineage: Eukaryota; Viridiplantae; Streptophyta; Magnoliopsida; Poales; Bromeliaceae.